UUUAUGGAGAGUUUGAUCCUGGCUCAGGACGAACGCUGGCGGCGUGCCUAAUACAUGCAAGUCGAGCGAACAGAUAAGGAGCUUGCUCCUUUGACGUUAGCG
RNAcentral lists this ribosomal RNA (102 nucleotides) under Lysinibacillus halotolerans. Its description in RNAcentral is "Bacterial small subunit ribosomal RNA". It matches the Rfam family "Bacterial small subunit ribosomal RNA", at positions 1 to 97 of the family's 1533-position model. The record is from Rfam by way of RNAcentral. Lineage: Bacteria; Bacillati; Bacillota; Bacilli; Caryophanales; Bacillaceae.